RNAcentral lists this ribosomal RNA (302 nucleotides) under uncultured Bacilli bacterium. RNAcentral describes it as "SSU rRNA". It matches the Rfam family "Bacterial small subunit ribosomal RNA", at positions 8 to 296 of the family's 1533-position model. The record is from RNAcentral. Lineage: Bacteria; Bacillati; Bacillota; Bacilli.
AGAGUUUGAUCCUGGCUCAGGACGAACGCUGGCGGCGUGCCUAAUACAUGCAAGUCGAGCGGAUCUCUAAGGGAGCUUGCUCCCGAAGAGGUUAGCGGCGGACGGGUGAGUAACACGUAGGCAACCUGCCCAUAAGACCGGGAUAACAUUCGGAAACGAAUGCUAAGACCGGAUACGCAGCGAGGUCGCAUGAUCUUGCUGGGAAACACGGUGCAAGCUGUGGCUUAUGGAUGGGCCUGCGGCGCAUUAGCUAGUUGGUGAGGUAACGGCCCACCAAGGCGACGAUGCGUAGCCGACCUGAG